GAUCCGAUAGUGUAGUGGUACCACGCGUCCUUCGGGUGUUAACAGCCCGAUUGAAGCCAAUCUUGUGGACGAAGCCUGGGUUCGAAUCCCGGUCGGGUCC
Molecule: transfer RNA, 100 nt
Filed under: Kwoniella bestiolae CBS 10118
Lineage: Eukaryota; Fungi; Basidiomycota; Tremellomycetes; Tremellales; Cryptococcaceae
Description: tRNA-Pro
Rfam family: tRNA
About the family: Transfer RNA (tRNA) molecules are approximately 80 nucleotides in length. Their secondary structure includes four short double-helical elements and three loops (D, anti-codon, and T loops).
Source: RNAcentral